This 505-nucleotide ribosomal RNA is filed under the name uncultured bacterium. RNAcentral's name for it is "bacterial SSU rRNA". It matches the Rfam family "Bacterial small subunit ribosomal RNA", at positions 30 to 526 of the family's 1533-position model. The record is from RNAcentral.
AUUGAACGCUGGCGGAAUGCUUUACACAUGCAAGUCGAACGGCAGCACGGGGCAACCUGGUGGCGAGUGGCGAACGGGUGAGUAAUACAUCGGAACGUGCCCAAUCGCGGGGGGAUAACGUAGCGAAAGUUACGCUAAUACCGCAUACGAUCUACGGAUGAAAGCGGGGGAUCGCAAGACCUCGCGCGAAUGGAGCGGCCGAUGUCAGAUUAGGUAGUUGGUGGGGUAAAGGCUCACCAAGCCAACGAUCUGUAGCUGGUCUGAGAGGACGACCAGCCACACUGGAACUGAGACACGGUCCAGACUCCUACGGGAGGCAGCAGUGGGGAAUUUUGGACAAUGGGCGCAAGCCUGAUCCAGCCAUUCCGCGUGCAGGAUGAAGGCCUUCGGGUUGUAAACUGCUUUUGUACGGAACGAAAAGGUCCUGGUUAAUACCUGGGGCUCAUGACGGUACCGUAAGAAUAAGCACCGGCUAACUACGUGCCAGCAGCCGCGGUAAUAGUAC